AACAAAAGGACGUUGGCAUCCAAUCAGGAUUGAGGCUGUUGUGGGCGGGUCCGGUAAAAGCAACAGCCAAUGACAGAACAGGAGCGAAGUUAAGCGUGAGAAAGCCAGCCCAAAGAAAGCAGCUCUUCAGUCUCAGCAGGAGCCAGAGAAUUUGCGGUCAGAAAGCCAGUAUGGAAAAUUUUGACAGCUGUCAGGAAGGAGGUUAUUGAAUUCAUUGGAGAAUGAGUGCUGUCCUAAAUUUGAAUUCAUCAAGUUCCUCCUUACCUGUGUCAUCUGUGAGAGAAAUGUUGGUGAAUGUGCUGUCCUCCUCUUCCUCUUUGCUGGACCCGUCCAUCUUGUUUACU
Molecule: long non-coding RNA, 344 nt
Organism: Lontra canadensis (Northern American river otter)
Lineage: Eukaryota; Metazoa; Chordata; Mammalia; Carnivora; Mustelidae
Exons: 3
Source: RefSeq, a predicted model, not a curated record